Non-coding RNA from Gasterosteus aculeatus (three-spined stickleback), 62 nucleotides. The record is from Rfam. Lineage: Eukaryota; Metazoa; Chordata; Actinopteri; Perciformes; Gasterosteidae.
AUCUUUGGUUAUCUAGCUGUAUGAGUGGCGUACAUUCUUCAUAAAGCUAGAUAACCGAAAGU